AUGAGAGUUUGAUCCUGGCUCAGGACGAACGCUGGCGGCGUGCCUAAUACAUGCAAGUCGAACGCUUCUUUCCUCCCGAGUGCUUGCACUCAAUUGGAAAGAGGAGUGGCGGACGGGUGAGUAACACGUGGGUAACCUACCCAUCAGAGGGGGAUAACACUUGGAAACAGGUGCUAAUACCGCAUAACAGUUUAUGCCGCAUGGCAUAAGAGUGAAAGGCGCUUUCGGGUGUCGCUGAUGGAUGGACCCGCGGUGCAUUAGCUAGUUGGUGAGGUAACGGCUCACCAAGGCCACGAUGCAUAGCCGACCUGAGAGGGUGAUCGGCCACACUGGGACUGAGACACGGCCCAGACUCCUACGGGAGGCAGCAGUAGGGAAUCUUCGGCAAUGGACGAAAGUCUGACCGAGCAACGCCGCGUGAGUGAAGAAGGUUUUCGGAUCGUAAAACUCUGUUGUUAGAGAAGAACAAGGACGUUAGUAACUGAACGUCCCCUGACGGUAUCUAACCA
This 509-nucleotide ribosomal RNA is filed under the name Enterococcus faecalis. Its description in RNAcentral is "bacterial SSU rRNA". It matches the Rfam family "Bacterial small subunit ribosomal RNA", at positions 1 to 485 of the family's 1533-position model. The record is from RNAcentral. Lineage: Bacteria; Bacillati; Bacillota; Bacilli; Lactobacillales; Enterococcaceae.